RNAcentral lists this ribosomal RNA (468 nucleotides) under uncultured bacterium. RNAcentral's name for it is "partial 16S ribosomal RNA". It matches the Rfam family "Bacterial small subunit ribosomal RNA", at positions 28 to 507 of the family's 1533-position model. The record is from RNAcentral.
GACGAACGCUGGCGGCGUGCUUAACACAUGCAAGUCGAACGGAAAGGCCCUGCUUUUGUGGGGUGCUCGAGUGGCGAACGGGUGAGUAACACGUGAGUAACCUGCCCUUGACUUUGGGAUAACUUCAGGAAACUGGGGCUAAUACCGGAUAGGAGCUCCUGCUGCAUGGUGGGGGUUGGAAAGUUUCGGCGGUUGGGGAUGGACUCGCGGCUUAUCAGCUUGUUGGUGGGGUAGUGGCUUACCAAGGCUUUGACGGGUAGCCGGCCUGAGAGGGUGACCGGCCAAAAUGGGAAUGGGGAAAGGCCCCGAACCCUAAGGGGGGGAAGAGGGGGGAAAAAUGGAAAAAGGGGGGAAGGCUGAAGGAGGAAAGGCGGGUGCGGGAUGACGGCCUUCGGGUUGUAAACCGCUUUCGCCUGUGACGAAGCGUGAGUGACGGUAAUGGGUAAAGAAGCACCGGCUAACUACGUG